This is a long non-coding RNA of Microtus oregoni (creeping vole), 1085 nucleotides long. RefSeq lists it as uncharacterized. NCBI's taxonomy places the organism in Eukaryota, Metazoa, Chordata, Mammalia, Rodentia, Cricetidae. The transcript has 4 exons. The record is from RefSeq and is a predicted model, not a curated record.
GUGGUGGUGGAGGAGGAGGAGGCAGGGGGUGGAGAGAAAGAAAGCGCACGCCGAGAGGAGGUGUGGGUGUUUCUCUCCCAUCCUAACAGAACGAGCUCCCUCUUCGCGGAUAUGGGAUUGCCCAGCGGCUGCUAACCCCUCUGCUGGUCCUGCUCCCCCAAACCGGCGUGGCUCCCCGGUCACCAAGGAGCUGACUGCAAGGGAGCAGGAUUCGCAUCCUUGGCUGGGCGAGCUUUGACUACAGAGUGCCUGACCUGGGUCAGCCUUCUCCGUUUCAGGUAAAUGGAAAGACAGGCCUGUUCACCAGGCAGAAUUCUGACUGAGAGGGAGAGGGAGGAAGAGAGAGAGAGAGAAAGAGAAAGUUUGAGAACACUUUUAUGGCCUUGGACCUAGAGGCAGAAAGAGACCACAAGCUACCUGUGCGCCCAGGGGUCGUGUAGUCACAUGAAGAAACAAGUGCAGCUGCAUUUUAACCUGCUGUCCAUAGACACCGGAGGAAUUGAUGUUUGAGGACCUCUCAACACAGAACAUCUGCACUGCUGGGUGUAAAGUUUCUCAUCAGAAAAACCUGAGCGAAGGAAAACAACACCAGCCUCCAAGUAAUCUAGAGGAGUUGCUGUAGAGGGAGAAAGGCUCAAGUCCUAUUAAGGAAGAGCUGUUCAGAGCGCCUGUAAUUUCAUGCAUUUCAGAUGCAAGUAGGAAAGGCUGGGGCAUAUACUUCAGUGGAAGAGCACUGGCCUAUCUUGUGCAAACCUCUAGAUUGAAUCCUCAGCUAAACAGACAAAGAAGGAAACAAUUACAUAUAAGCUGAACUCUCUUCUAACCGGCAGCAGGCUUUGGGAUCCACUCUGUCUCCCUGGACCCUUCACUGUGGUCAACUCAGAUGUCUGUCUUGAAGGCCCUAUGGGAUUGUUACAUAUAAUCUACUGAUCAGAACUGCUGACCCGAGAGAUAAUGGGGUGGCUCUGAGGGUAAAGAUGCCCCUGCCAAGCCUGACAACCUCAGUUCCACGUGGUGGAAUGAGAAAACUGACUCCUGCAAGUGGUCCUCUCCCUUCAGACACUGUGGUAAUUCAUGUCCUCCUC